This 253-nucleotide ribosomal RNA is filed under the name uncultured bacterium. RNAcentral's name for it is "partial 16S ribosomal RNA". It matches the Rfam family "Bacterial small subunit ribosomal RNA", at positions 524 to 776 of the family's 1533-position model. The record is from RNAcentral.
UACGGGGGGGGCAAGCGUUGUUCGGAAUUACUGGGCGUAAAGGGCUCGUAGGCGGCCAACUAAGUCAGACGUGAAAUCCCUCGGCUUAACCGGGGAACUGCAUCUGAUACUGGAUGGCUUGAGUUUGGGAGAGGGACGCGGAAUUCCAGGUGUAGCGGUGAAAUGCGUAGAUAUCUGGAGGAACACCGGUGGCGAAGGCGGCAUCCUGGACCGGUAUUGACGCUGAUGCGCGAAAGCCAGGGGAGCAAACGGG